RNAcentral lists this ribosomal RNA (497 nucleotides) under uncultured bacterium. RNAcentral's name for it is "partial 16S ribosomal RNA". It matches the Rfam family "Bacterial small subunit ribosomal RNA", at positions 28 to 507 of the family's 1533-position model. The record is from RNAcentral.
GAUGAACGCUGGCGGCGUGCCUAAUACAUGCAAGUCGAGCGAACAGACGAGGAGCUUGCUCCUCUGACGUUAGCGGCGGACGGGUGAGUAACACGUGGAUAACCUACCUAUAAGACUGGGAUAACUUCGGGAAACCGGAGCUAAUACCGGAUAAUAUAUUGAACCGCAGGGUUCAAUAGUGAAAGACGGUUGUGCUGGCACUUAUAGAUGGAUCCGCGCCGCAUUAGCUAGUUGGUAAGGUAAAGGCUUACCAAGGCAACGAUGCGUAGCCGACGUGAGGGGGUGAUCGGCCACCCUGGAGCUGGGCCACGGUCCAGACUCCUACGGGAGGCAGCAGUAGGGAAUGUUCCGCAAUGGGCGAAAGCCUGACGGAGCAAGGCCGCGUGAGUGAUGAAGGUCUUCGGAUCGUAAAGCUCUGUUAUUAGGGAAGAACAAAUGUGUAAGUAACUAUGCACGUCUUGACGGUACCUAAUCAGAAAGCCACGGCUAACUACGUG